Molecule: ribosomal RNA, 301 nt
Filed under: uncultured bacterium
Lineage: Bacteria
Description: partial 16S ribosomal RNA
Rfam family: Bacterial small subunit ribosomal RNA
Source: RNAcentral
CAGUAGCCACGGGAAUACGAGGGGAGCUAGCGUUGUUCGGAAUUACUGGGCGUAAAGCGCGCGUAGGCGGCUUUUUAAGUCAGAGGUGAAGGCCCGGGGCUCAACCCCGGAAUUGCCUUUGAAACUGGAAAGCUAGAAUCUUGGAGAGGUCAGUGGAAUUCCGAGUGUAGAGGUGAAAUUCGUAGAUAUUCGGAAGAACACCAGUGGCGAAGGCGACUGACUGGACAAGUAUUGACGCUGAGGUGCGAAAGCGUGGGGAGCAAACAGGAUUAGAUACCCCGGUAGUCCCUGUCUCUUAUAA